Molecule: ribosomal RNA, 854 nt
Filed under: Pseudonocardia tropica
Lineage: Bacteria; Bacillati; Actinomycetota; Actinomycetes; Pseudonocardiales; Pseudonocardiaceae
Description: bacterial SSU rRNA
Rfam family: Bacterial small subunit ribosomal RNA
Source: RNAcentral
UGCAGUCGAGCGGUAGGCCCUUUCGGGGGUACACGAGCGGCGAACGGGUGAGUAACACGUGGGUGACCUGCCCUCCACUCUGGGAUAAGCCCGGGAAACUGGGUCUAAUACCGGAUAGGACCACUGAUCGCAUGGUUGGUGGUGGAAAGUUUUUUCGGUGGGGGAUGGGCCCGCGGCCUAUCAGCUUGUUGGUGGGGUGAUGGCCUACCAAGGCGGUGACGGGUAGCCGGCCUGAGAGGGCGACCGGCCACACUGGGACUGAGACACGGCCCAGACUCCUACGGGAGGCAGCAGUGGGGAAUAUUGCGCAAUGGGCGGAAGCCUGACGCAGCGACGCCGCGUGGGGGAUGACGGCCUUCGGGUUGUAAACCUCUUUCGCCAGGGACGAAGAGCAAUUGACGGUACCUGGAGAAGAAGCACCGGCCAACUACGUGCCAGCAGCCGCGGUAACACGUAGGGUGCGAGCGUUGUCCGGAAUUAUUGGGCGUAAAGAGCUCGUAGGCGGUGUGUCGCGUCGGCCGUGAAAACUUGGGGCUUAACUCUGAGCGUGCGGUCGAUACGGGCAUCACUUGAGUUCGGCAGGGGAGACUGGAAUUCCUGGUGUAGCGGUGAAAUGCGCAGAUAUCAGGAGGAACACCGGUGGCGAAGGCGGGUCUCUGGGCCGAUACUGACGCUGAGGAGCGAAAGCGUGGGGAGCGAACAGGAUUAGAUACCCUGGUAGUCCACGCCGUAAACGUUGGGCGCUAGGUGUGGGGACCAUUCCACGGUUUCUGUGCCGCAGCUAACGCAUUUAAGCGCCCCGCCUGGGGAGUACGGCCGCAAGGCUAAACUCAAAGGAAUUGACGGGGGCCCGC